UACGUAGGGUGCGAGCGUUGUCCGGAAUUAUUGGGCGUAAAGGGCUCGUAGGCGGUUUGUCGCGUCGGGAGUGAAAACACUGGGCUUAACUCAGUGCUUGCUUCCGAUACGGGCAGACUAGAGGUAUUCAGGGGAGAACGGAAUUCCUGGUGUAGCGGUGAAAUGCGCAGAUAUCAGGAGGAACACCGGUGGCGAAGGCGGUUCUCUGGGAAGGUCCUGACGCUGAGGAGCGAAAGUGUGGGGAGCGAACAGG
RNAcentral lists this ribosomal RNA (253 nucleotides) under uncultured bacterium. RNAcentral describes it as "partial 16S ribosomal RNA". It matches the Rfam family "Bacterial small subunit ribosomal RNA", at positions 524 to 776 of the family's 1533-position model. The record is from RNAcentral.